Molecule: unclassified non-coding RNA, 3358 nt
Filed under: Drosophila ananassae
Lineage: Eukaryota; Metazoa; Arthropoda; Insecta; Diptera; Drosophilidae
Description: GF21690
Source: RNAcentral
UAGAACGUUUCGUUCAUUUAGGCCCUUUAGGUCAUCUAUGUAUUUGUUGAUUACAUAUGCCUUUUAAAGAGACGUGACGAAACAAAAGUGCCAGCAGACAUACACAUGCUGAGUUGCCAAUUUUAAAUUUAGUCUCUAGAUACUUCUUUUACAUUAUACAGCUAUAUGAAUCUAUUGUGUUACUCAUUUACAAAUAUGUCACUGCAUUCUGAUUUUUGAUUUUCCAUCUAAACUGGCGUGAUAUAUAAUUACAGGAAAGAGUGAUGCUCCCGUGAAACGGACCGCCAGUAGGACCUGCCGAUACGUAACCACCGCUGAAUUGCUCCCGCCAGAAGGACCGUCAGUAGGACUCAUCGAUACGUAUCAGCCGAAACCUUUACCACCCACCACCACCACAUAUACUUGAGGAAAACCAACUAGGACUUCAAAUAUCUCACAUCAACCUCUGCCUGACCACAGCAAGCGACUGCUCAACCGGAGCAGACCCUUGAAGAACCCAGAUUUAUUUUAAUGUCUUCGGAAAAGAAAGAUCGAUUCAAUGCAUGAAAAAUACGCAAAGGUAUGUUCAUACCGGAUACUUUAAGAGGCUGUAUGAUUGAGACGGACGUUUCUUCUUAUUUGCAAACAUCAUCAACUGGACAAGAUGAAUUUCACCCCUUUAUUGAGGCACUUUUACCAUACGUUAAGUCAUUUUCCUACUCUUGGUUUAAUUUGCAAGCCGCAAAACGAAAAUAUUAUAAGAAACAUGAAAAAAGAAUGUCAUUGGAAGAGGAAAGGCACUGCAAGGAUGAACUGCAGAAUGAAAAGACUGAAGUCAAACAAAAGUGGGCCUCACGAUUGCUUGGAAAACUUCGGAAGGAUAUUACUCAAGAAAGUCGGGAGGACUUUGUUCAAUCUAUAAUCGGCAAGCGCCAAUCUAUUUGUGUGCUUUCAAACCCUGACCAGAAGGGAAAAAUGCGUCGCAUUGACUGUUUGCGACAAGCUGACAAAGUAUGGAGGCUUGACUUGGUCAUGGUCAUUCUUUUUAAAGCAAUUCCAUUAGAAAGCACCGACGGCGAGCGCUUAGAAAAAAAUCCAGACUGCCUACAUCCAGGCUUGUGUGUCAACCCAUAUCAUAUAAAUGUCUCUGUAAGAGAACUUGACUUAUAUUUGGCAAACUUUAUAAACACUCAUAAUUCAGUUUCACAUUCAACCUUAAAUUGUUCCACCAUGGUACGCUCAAUAUCACGAUCCCCUCUGUUGACAUUAUAUAAUCGUAGUGAUUCAUCGAAUAAAAAGGAUGAUGGUGAUGAUUUGAAAAAUGAGAAAAUUAAGCACAACCCUUAUAAUGGGGUGAUGUGUAACGAUAUUAUUUUAGCAACUGGAGUGUUUUCAUCCAAAGAACUAUGGGAAUUAUCUAAAGAAUCAAUUUUGGAUGAAGUAAACGAUGGAGGUUUGGACUCAAGCCUAAUAAAAAGGGAGAGUGUUGGGGCUACCUAUGACUGCAAUACAUAUCAACUUAGUUCAGAAACUUCAAUGCCCGGUGUUCAGGGUAUAGUUCAAGUGGGAUCAGCUGUGACUAACCCCAUACCCAUCAGUUAUGUUAAUUUUUUAGAUCAAAGGAGUAUGCUUAUGCCUCAAAAUACAUUAAUUCGUACUCAAGGAACAAGUGUCAACGCAAAUGAUCAUAAUGAGAUCGAUAGAACUCAUUCCCCAACAGUUAUAAAUGCUUCAUCAGAAAAUGGCCGUAAUAGUUUUUCAAUGCUUCAAAGGGCGACAGAUAGUAGCAGCUUAAGUGAAGAGCCAAAGUCAGCAGAAUCAGAAUCUUCCCUUCAUCGCUAUUCAUCGCUCCAUAAUAGGUCCAUACCCCAAGGUGUUCAACAUCAUAAUUCCUCUUCUAUGCAUUCAUCACCGGCCAGUGCCCUAUAUUAUCCACAACAAAGCAAUCAACGAUCACAAAUAACUACAUUGGCUGAAGAUCAAAAUCGCGUUACUGAGCCCCACGAUAUUUCUGAAUUUGUUACGUAUGUGUGUCAGGAUUCUAAUCACAAUACUAUUACGGGUUCAGUUGGUAAUAAUACAUUUCAACAUGGACCAGCAUCACAUUUUCAAAUACAUCAACAGCUCCGCAGCGCGAAAUUAGCGUCUUCACCGUCGACUCAUUACCAUAGUACGAUGCUACCGCCUAUGCUCCCGCCAAUGGCGCGACCAGUAGCUAUAAUUCGAAGCAGCGGAGAUUUGACUUUAGUUCAAACACCAUCGCCUGCCAUAAACUCCGUUAAUAGUUCCCCCAACGUGACGAGCAACAUAUCAGACGUAGCUAAAAGUAACUCGGAUUCGGAAAACAAUAGAUCUCUAGAUACAAUAGAGACCAAUACUAGACCAAUAACUUCGGAUACUAUUCAACAAAACGUUCACAGUUCUGAAAACGAAUUAAUAGGUGGCUCGUCCCCUCGACCGCAUGCGAAUGCUUCGACUUCCCCAAAUCCACAAAAUUAUAAUGACUCUGGUCGGUGCAAAGCUUCAUCGGCUGGUUUAAACUCAGUAAGCAGAAUAACCGCACAAAUGUAUUCUUCCUCAAAUAAUAGAGAAUAUUUUAAUCAUUUUCAUUCACAAGCGUCCCCGGUGUACCGCGGAAACUGCAGGUGAUGGAACCUAUUCUGGACUGGACUUUAUUUCAGGGGAGCCUAAAGGUUAUGGAACAGUUAAUAUUUUACGUAGAAGAAAAAAAAUUGAAAAUCGUCGUCUUGUGUAACUCAUUGAAAAAAUUCAAUUCUAAGGCUUGGGCUUUGAAGUUUAGGAGCAGAAUUUAGGGCCCUAUGAAAGAAAAAUUUGAGUUUGCCCUGCUUUAGAGUAUUUUCAAAAAUUGAUUCUGAACACGUAAUUAAUUUUACCUUUAUAAACUUAACGAAAUAAUGAAGACAUACAUAUUCAUUAAACAACAUUUAGAGUUAAAGAAAACUUAAUGUAUAGGCCAAACUGCGAGUAUGUGGCGAUCAUUAUGAGACUCAUUCACAUAAGAGACAAGUUUUUAAUUAGAAAAGUGUAUUUGGUGUUAACCUUUGUUUAUUAAACACUUUGCGCAUAUGCCAAUUUAUAUAAAGGUUCCUACCUUAUCGAAUCGAAUAAAAUUAAAUGUCGUUAACAGCUUUUGAAAAACGAUAGACUAAUUUCACAGGCCUGCGAAAUUUAACAUUUUUCAGUUUCAAGAAUGGAUGUACUUGUUUCGAGUAUUUUUUUUAGGGGCAAAAUUCGAAUGUGACCUCCAAAAUGCUCCAUCACGUCAAGAUUUUUGGAUUAUGAAGCCUAAAUAGUCAACAUGUGGCCAUUUUUGCCAUUUUUGAUAAUUUUUUUGGGAUAUAAUUAUAGUUAAAGACAA